AUUUGGUUUUGAUUGUACCAGCAAUGGAGUUGGCAUUUCUCAAACUGAGUGUUCAACUCACCAACCUUCGGCCAACUCUGCUUCUAGUUUACCAAACACUGGAGAAGCAAGCCCCUACAAAUAUUUUUUUGGGUCAAAAGCCAUAUAUCAAUACACUUAGAUAUAAUAACAGAUUUAAUACUUCCCGUAGCCAACAAAACCGUAAAUAAGACACAUCCAAAGAUUUUCUGAAGUUUGACAAACAUAACAUACUGAUUUCUCAGGCUGUUGCUGGCAGUACCAGCAUACCUAUAGUCUAUAGAAGUCACAAUCCAUGACAUUAGUCUAAAUCCAAGUCCCAAAGGCAUUUAUAACUUAAGUAAAAGCACGUGACAGUAGCAUAGCUAAGCAGCAGCAGCAGCAGAUCGAAUGUAAUUUGUACAACAUGUAUCAAAAAAAUGAGAUGCCCGGAAGCACCUACUAACGGUUAACUACAUCUAAUAAGAUGGAAAGAAACACAAAAAAAUAGUCUCUCACUUCUAUAGAUGCUUAUGCAUGACACUAAUAAAUCCUAUAAUAUCAUGGUAGGAACAUUAGCACCACCAGGCAAGUAGAAUCAGUCUGUUUAGAUAUACAAGAGCAGUGAAAGGAGUGAUAGUGAAAGGAGUGAUUGCAGCUUGUAGUGAUAAAAAUAUAAAACAUAUUUUUAUAUAUAUCAAAUGCAUGAAAUGAUCUCAAGAGAGAUAUUCAAUCAUCAAGAUAGCAUUCACUUCCACAAUCUAAGCAUUUUGCAUAAAAAUUCAUCAUUAUAAAAAUAUAAUAGAAAACUAAAUUUACCCACUCUUCUAUCAUUUUUCGUGUAGGAACAACAAUAAAUAUAGCAGGACAAUAAUAUCGGUACAGAGAUCUAUUACAAUAUUCCUAUGUAUUACUGAAAUUUCUGGUAAUUCCCAUAAAGACUCGAGAGAGAUUUGAGUGACAACAUGAAGAAAUCAGGUGAAAUAAAAAGGAAAACCACAUCUCAGCAAGAGAAAAAUAGCACAAGUUCAUAAGUUACUGAAGCAAUUAAAAUCAAACUAAUCAUAAACGAAUUAAAAUUUCUAAUUUUCUAAAGCAGAUUCAACCAAACAAAAAUGGAAAAAGAGAAAUUUAACAUCGCUCUCUAAUCAAAAAAUGAAGGUGAUACCUUUCUGAGAGUGUAAGCGAAGACGGAGCCGGCGACUCCGGCACCCACAAUGAUUAUGUCAGCGUUUCUCUUUUGCCCUCGCGUCGCCGCCGUGCCGGUGGGUUCGGACAAUAGGGAAGGAGAUAGGACGGAGGAGAGUCGCGCCCGCGUGGAGUCGCCCCAUCUGGAUUGUGCGAAUUAUUGAAUUACCCCCAAAAACUGUGUUAUUGAUAUUAACAUGGAUUGGGGUGAGAAAGGUUGCUAGAAUCAAGCAAUGGAAACUAUGAUUGAGGAAACUGAUUUAAUUAUUGCUAUAGGAUGAGAAAUUAAGGCAUUUUGAUUUAGUGUGUAUUGAUUCCUAUCAAACCCUACGUGGAUUAGAGAAUGGAGAAGAGAUAUUUGAGAGAAUUAAGAGAGAAGAGAAUAAAGGAUUGAGAGGAAGCCACGUAGGAGAGAGAAUGAAGGAGAUCUCUUGAAUAUGUAAUCGUUUAUAUAAUUGAUAGAU
This 1649-nucleotide long non-coding RNA is filed under the name Salvia miltiorrhiza (redroot sage). RNAcentral describes it as "long non-coding RNA (SMIL_LNC006150)". The record is from RNAcentral. Lineage: Eukaryota; Viridiplantae; Streptophyta; Magnoliopsida; Lamiales; Lamiaceae.